GAGGAAUAUUGGUCAAUGGGCGAGAGCCUGAACCAGCCAAGUCGCGUGAAGGACGACGGUUCUAUGGAUUGUAAACUUCUUUUGUAGAGGAAUAAUGGCAGCUACGCGUAGCUGAGAUGCAUGUACUCUACGAAUAAGUAUCGGCUAACUCCGUGCCAGCAGCCGCGGUAAUACGGAGGAUACGAGCGUUAUCCGGAAUUAUUGGGUUUAAAGGGUGCGUAGGUGGCGUAUUAAGUCAGUGGUGAAAAGCUGCAGCUCAACUGUAGUCUUGCCGUUGAAACUGAUAUGCUAGAGAGGAGACGAGGUAUGCGGAAUGUGUGGUGUAGCGGUGAAAUGCAUAGAUAUCACACAGAACGCCGAUUGCGAAGGCAGCGUACCAGGCUCCGUCUGACACUGAAGCACGAAAGCGUGGGGAUCAAACAGGAUUAGAUACCCUGGUAGUCCACGCAGUAAACGAUGAAUACUAGAUUUUUGCGAUAUACUGUAAGAGUCUAAGCGAAAGCGAUAAGUAUUCCACCUGGGGAGUACGCCGGCAACGGUG
This 541-nucleotide ribosomal RNA is filed under the name uncultured bacterium. RNAcentral describes it as "bacterial SSU rRNA". It matches the Rfam family "Bacterial small subunit ribosomal RNA", at positions 356 to 896 of the family's 1533-position model. The record is from RNAcentral.